ACACACUUUCCGCCAGAGAACUACAAGUGAAAAACUUGAAACUCAAAGGACUUGACGGUGUCCCAUAUCGGCCUAGAGGAGCCUGUCCUAUAAUCGAUACCCCCCGUUCCACCCAACCUUAACUAGUAAUCAGCCUAUAUACCGCCGUCGACAGCCUACCCUAUGAAGGUAAUAGUAGACAAAAUAGCAUAUCGCUAAUACGUCAGGUCAAGGUGUAGCAAAUGUUAAGAAGAGAUUGGC
Molecule: ribosomal RNA, 240 nt
Filed under: Iberolacerta martinezricai
Lineage: Eukaryota; Metazoa; Chordata; Lepidosauria; Squamata; Lacertidae
Description: partial 12S ribosomal RNA
Rfam family: Bacterial small subunit ribosomal RNA
Source: RNAcentral